This 459-nucleotide ribosomal RNA is filed under the name uncultured bacterium. Its description in RNAcentral is "partial 16S ribosomal RNA". It matches the Rfam family "Bacterial small subunit ribosomal RNA", at positions 338 to 795 of the family's 1533-position model. The record is from RNAcentral.
CCUACGGGAGGCAGCAGUGAGGAAUAUUGGUCAAUGGUCGGGAGACUGAACCAGCCAAGCCGCGUGAGGGAUGACGGUCCAGCGUAUCGUAAACCUCUUUUGUCAGGGAACAAAGGCGGGGACGUGUCCCCGGAUGAGUGUACCUGAAAAAAAAGCAUCGGCUAACUCCGUGCCAACGGCCGCGGUAAUACGGGGGAUGCGAGCGUUAUCCGGGUUUAUUGGGUUUAAAGGGUGCGCAGGCGGUCUGUUAAGUCAGCGGUCAAAGCCCGGGGCUCAACCCCGGCCCGCCGUUGAAACUGGCAGUCUUGAGUUGGAGAGAAGUAUGCGGAAUGCGCGGUGUAGCGGUGAAAUGCAUAGAUAGCGCGCAGAACUCCGAUUGCGAAGGCAGCAUGCCGGCGCCACACUGACGCUGAGGCACGAAAGCGUGGGUAUCGAACAGGAUUAGAUACCCCUGUAGUC